This 415-nucleotide ribosomal RNA is filed under the name uncultured bacterium. RNAcentral's name for it is "bacterial SSU rRNA". It matches the Rfam family "Bacterial small subunit ribosomal RNA", at positions 355 to 794 of the family's 1533-position model. The record is from RNAcentral.
UGAGGGAUAUUGCACAAUGGGGGAAACCCUGAUGCAGCGACGCCGCGUGGGUGAUGAAGGACUUCGGUUCGUAAAACCCUUUUACAGGUGACGCGGUAGCCUGUGAAUAAGCCUCGGCUAACUACGUGCCAGCAGCCGCGGUAAAACGUAGGAGGCAAGCGUUAUCCGGAGUUACUGGGCGUAAAGGGCGCGCAGGUGGUUGUGUAAGUGUUGUGUGAAAGCACUCGGCUAAACUGGGUGAGGUCGCAACAGACUGCACGACUAGAGGGUGAUAGAAGCACGCGGAAUUCGGGGUGUAGCGGUGAAAUGUGUAGAGAUCCCGAGGAACACCAGUGGUGAAAACGGCGUGCUGGGUCAUACCUGACACUGAGGCGCGAAAGCUUGGGGAGCGAACGGGAUUAGAUACCCCUGUAGU